This 69-nucleotide transfer RNA is filed under the name Allobates sumtuosus. RNAcentral's name for it is "tRNA-Asp". It matches the Rfam family "tRNA". Rfam says of the family: Transfer RNA (tRNA) molecules are approximately 80 nucleotides in length. Their secondary structure includes four short double-helical elements and three loops (D, anti-codon, and T loops). The record is from RNAcentral. Lineage: Eukaryota; Metazoa; Chordata; Amphibia; Anura; Aromobatidae.
GAGAAAUUAGUUAAUCAAUAACACUACCUUGUCGAGGUAGAAUAAUAAGUUAAAACCUUAUAUUUCUCU